CCUGCUACGGGUGAGGCUCUGGGUCACCUCCCACCCGUGUUUAUCGUACCUUGUUGCUUCGGCGGGCCCGCCGCAAGGCCGCCGGGGGGCAUCUGCCCUCUGGCCCGCGCCCGCCGAAGACACCAUUGAACGCUGUCUGAAGAUUGCAGUCUGAGCAAUUAGUUAAAUAACUUAAAACUUUCAACAACGGAUCUCUUGGUUCCGGCAUCGAUGAAGAACGCAGCGAAAUGCGAUACGUAAUGUGAAUUGCAGAAUUCAGUGAAUCAUCGAGUCUUUGAACGCACAUUGCGCCCCCUGGUAUUCCGGGGGGCAUGCCUGUCCGAGCGUCAUUGCUGCCCUCAAGCACGGCUUGUGUGUUGGGCUCCGUCCUCCUUCCGGGGGACGGGCCCGAAAGGCAGCGGCGGCACCGCGUCCGGUCCUCGAGCGUAUGGGGCUUCGUCACCCGCUCUGCAGGCCCGGCCGGCGCUUGCCGACACAUCAAUCUUUUUUCCAGGUUGACCUCGGAUCAGGUAGGGAUACCCGCUGAACUUAAGCAUAUGAAAACUCGGG
This 549-nucleotide ribosomal RNA is filed under the name Penicillium toxicarium. RNAcentral describes it as "eukaryotic LSU rRNA". The stretch from base 176 to 329 matches the Rfam family "5.8S ribosomal RNA". Lineage: Eukaryota; Fungi; Ascomycota; Eurotiomycetes; Eurotiales; Aspergillaceae. The record is from RNAcentral.